UCCUGACAUUGUGGCACCAUAUGAUUACAUAUUUAUCUGGGACGAAGAUUUGGGAGUGGAUAAUUUUGAUUCUGAAAAAUACGUUGAUUUGGUUAAGAAACAUGGUUUGGAAAUUUCACAGCCUGGUGUGGAUCCUAAUAGUCCGUUUACAUGGAAGAUGACAAGGAAAAGACAUGACAGUGAAGUUCACAAGAGCACAGAGGAGAAACCAGGAUGUUAAAUUUCAGUUAAAUUGUUCAAUUUUUGCUACAAAAAUGGAGAAUGAUUCUUC
Molecule: long non-coding RNA, 271 nt
Organism: Chenopodium quinoa (quinoa)
Lineage: Eukaryota; Viridiplantae; Streptophyta; Magnoliopsida; Caryophyllales; Amaranthaceae
Exons: 3
Source: RefSeq, a predicted model, not a curated record